RNAcentral lists this ribosomal RNA (419 nucleotides) under bacterium. Its description in RNAcentral is "partial 16S ribosomal RNA". It matches the Rfam family "Bacterial small subunit ribosomal RNA", at positions 355 to 776 of the family's 1533-position model. The record is from RNAcentral.
UGGGGGAUAUUGCACAAUGGGCGAAAGCCUGAUGCAGUGACGCCGCGUGGGGGAUGAAGGCCUUCGGGUUGUAAACUUCUUUUGCUCUGAACAAGGCGCACCAUGGGGUGUGUUGAGUGUAGGGGUUGAUUAGCGCCGGCUAACUACGUGCCAGCAGCCGCGGUAAUACGUAGGGCGCGAGCGUUGUCCGGAAUUAUUGGGCGUAAAGGGCUUGUAGGUGGCUGGUUGCGUCUGUCGUGAAAGCUCAUGGCUUAACUGUGGGUUUGCGGUGGGUACGGGCUGGCUUGAGUGCAGUAGGGGAGGCUGGAAUUCCUGGUGUAGCGGUGGAAUGCGCAGAUAUCAGGAGGAAUACCGGUGGCGAAGGCGGGUCUCUGGGCUGUUACUGACACUGAGGAGCGAAAGCAUGGGGAGCGAACAGG